UGUUUAGGUAGUGAGUGCUUUCUUAACCAGACUGUAAUCCUUAUCUUUUGACUGCUAGUACUAAAAAGCAAAGUCUGGUGGCUUGGCUCAGCACCAAGAACAUUCACAACUGACAUGUCAGAUACCAGGUACCAGGCAGACCAGUUAGUUGGACUUCAACAGUUUUGGGUUUGCAUGGCUCCAAAAGAGAGAAAGACAUUUCAACGCGCUUUACACAGAAGUGAAUGAUCCCAGAUGUUUUCAACUGCCUUGGAAGGAGGUAAGAGUGAGCAGGGCCAAGGAGGCUCCCCAGGAAGACUGGGCUUUAUUGUAUUACACAGCACACACAGCCUGCAUCUUCAGUAGUGGAACUUGGGUACCAGUUUUAGGUCCCAGUGUGUUACCAAUACACGUGACAGUGCAUCUGUCAUGUGCCAGCAUAGUAGGAAGCAGCAUUUUUAAUUUUUUUUUUUUACUUCUUCAAAUACCAUCUCCAGUCUGCUGCAAAGCCCAGCAGAAAAAUCCAUGUCUGGAGGAAAGUGGCAGAUGGCAGGAAGAUGCACUGGAGCUAAGGCCUAACAGCACCUCUCAGGGAAGCACAUAACUAGAAUCUUCCUGUGAAUUAUGUGGAUAUCUGGGAUAUGGCUGGGACAAAGGGAAACAUCCCUGCUACAAGCAGAGUCCUACUUACCCUUGGAGCAGAUGCGAAUGGCACUGUGCAACACUCAGAGCUCAGCAAGGUGUGAUGAGAAUUGCUAACACAAGGUGUUUACAAGGUUUCCAGUAGAAGGGGAAAGCCUUAUUUUUAGGAGCCACUUUUGUUUUCAGAAGCAGGGUGGGGAGAAGAAAGAUCUUCAUAAAUAUUUCUGGAGACCUGCUCACCAAAUCCUUGAGGAAGUUCAAGAUCCAAGUCUGAAUUCGACUAUAAGAUAUUUCAAAUACUAAAAUUAAAGGACUGCAAAGCAGAGAAAUCUCAGAAAAUCUGCUCAAAAAAUGACCUUUAGAAGAAGAAUAAACCAAAAGUGUCAUGAGGGGGGAAGUAGGAG
RNAcentral lists this long non-coding RNA (1025 nucleotides) under Cyanistes caeruleus (blue tit). Its description in RNAcentral is "lncRNA (ENSCCEG00000002096.1)". The record is from RNAcentral. Lineage: Eukaryota; Metazoa; Chordata; Aves; Passeriformes; Paridae.